RNAcentral lists this ribosomal RNA (436 nucleotides) under uncultured bacterium. RNAcentral's name for it is "partial 16S ribosomal RNA". It matches the Rfam family "Bacterial small subunit ribosomal RNA", at positions 28 to 506 of the family's 1533-position model. The record is from RNAcentral.
GGUGAACGCUGGCGGCAGGCUUAACACAUGCAAGUCGGACGGGAAGUGGUUUUUCCAGUGGCGGACCGGUGAGCAACUCGCAAAAACCUGCCCUUUGGAGGGGAACAACAUCUGGAAACGGCUGCUAAUACCCCGUAGUCUGAGUAGCAAAAGGAGGAAUCCGCCCGAGGAAGGGCUCGCGCCUGAUUAGCUAGUUGAUGAGGCAAUAGCUUACCAAGUCGAUUAUCAGUAGCAGGUCAGACAGGAUGAUCAGCCACACUGGCACUGAGACACGGCACAGAAACAUACGAGAAGGAGCAGUAGCGAAUUUUACCCAAAGGGCGAAAGCCUAAAGGGGCAAUGGGGUGUAGAGGUAGAUGGCUUACGAAGAGAGAAAUUAUGUUCAUGGAGAAGAAGCAAGAACGGGAUCUAAGGAAAAAGAAUCGGCUAACUCGGG